UGGGAUUUGGGAUGCACAGGACAG
RNAcentral lists this non-coding RNA (24 nucleotides) under Rattus norvegicus (Norway rat). The record is from RNAcentral. Lineage: Eukaryota; Metazoa; Chordata; Mammalia; Rodentia; Muridae.